Molecule: ribosomal RNA, 1476 nt
Filed under: uncultured Bordetella sp.
Lineage: Bacteria; Pseudomonadati; Pseudomonadota; Betaproteobacteria; Burkholderiales; Alcaligenaceae
Description: partial 16S-23S ribosomal RNA intergenic spacer
Rfam family: Bacterial small subunit ribosomal RNA
Source: RNAcentral
GGUUUGAUCAUGGCCUCAGAUUGAACGCUGGCGGAUGCUUUACACAUGCAAGUCGAACGGCAGCACGGACUUCGGUCUGGUGGCGAGUGGCGAACGGGUGAGUAAUGUAUCGGAACGUGCCUAGUAGCGGUAGAUAACUACGCGAAAAGCGUAGCGACACCGCAUACGGGCCCUUCGGGGGAAAGCGGGGACCUCGGCCCCGCACUUAUUAGAGCGGCCGGAUAUCGGAUUAGCUAGUUGGUGGGGUAACGGCUCACCAAGGCGACGAUCCGCAGCUGGUUUGAGGACGACCAGCCACACUGGGACUGAGACACGGCCCAGACUCCUACGGGAGGCAGCAGUGGGGAAUUUUGGACAAUGGGGGGAACCCUGAUCCAGCCAUCCAUGUGUGCGUGAUGAAGGCCUUCGGUUGUAAAAGCACUUUGGCAGGAAAGAAACGGCACGGAUAAUACCCCGUGCAACUGACGGUACCUGCAGAAUAAGCACCGCCAACUACGUGCCAGCAGUCGCGCAUGCGUAGGGUGCAAGCGUUACCCGGAAUUACUACGGAAGCGUGCGCAGGCGGUUCGGGAAAGAAAGAUGUGAAAUCCCCCAGAGCUUAACUCUUCUUUGGAACUGCAUUUUUAACUACCGAGCUAGAGUGUGUCAGAGGGAGGUGGAAUUCCGCGUAGCAGUGAAAUGCGUAGAUAUGCGGAGGAACACCGAUGGCGAAGGCAGCCUCCUGGGAUAACACUGACGCUCAUGCACGAAAGCGUGGGGAGCAAACAGGAUUAGAUACCCCGGUAGUCCACGCCCUAAACGAUGUCAACUAGCUGUUGGGGCCUUCUGGCCUUGGUAUGGGCAGCGAUCGCGUGAAGUUGACCGCCUGGGGAGAGUACGGUCGCAAGAUUAAAACUCAAAGGAAUUGACGGGGACCCGCACAAGCGGUGGAUGAUGUGGAUUAACUGGAUGCAACGCGAAAAACCUUACCUACCCUUGACAUGUCUGGAAUCCCAAGAGAUUUGGGAGCAGUCGCAAAGAGAACCGGAACACAGGUGCUGCAUGGCUGUCGUCAGCUGUGUCGUGAGAUGUUGGGUUAAGUCCCGCAACGAGCGCAACCCUUGUCAAGGUUAGCACGAGCAGCACUCUAAUGAGACUGCCGGUGACAACCGGAGGAAGCGUGGGGAUGACGUCAAGUCCUCAUGGCUCAGGUAGGGCUUGCCACGUCAUACAAUGGUCGGGACAGAGGGUCGCCAACCCGCGAGGGGAGCCAAUCCCAGAAACCCGAUCGUAGUCCGGAUCGCAGUCUGCAACUCGACUGCAGAAGUCGGAAUCGCUAGUAAUCGCGGAUCAGCAUGUCGCGGUGAAUACGUUCCUGGUCUUGUACACACCGCCCGUCACACCAUGGGAGUGGGUUUUACCAGAAGUAGUUAGCCUAACCGUAAGGAGGGCGAUUACCACGGUAGGAUUCAGACUGGGUGAAGUCGCACAAGGUAA